CACACACAUAAAAGAAGAGAGACAAGACUUUAAACCCUGGUUCUUGGAAUCUUCCAAGCAGGAAAUAAAACAGAACUAGGGGAGGUGAAAAAGAAGAGGAAAAAAAGAUGAGAGCCAACCCUAAAAAGAAAUCUAACCAUGCAAGCCCUUAUCUCUCUCUUUCUUUCCAUCUUUUCUUGAGUCAAUGGCCACCUGCCUAAUACUUCUCAGCUGCUUUAUCUUCCCCUUCUUCUUCUCCUCCCCUUUCUUUGUUGCCUAGCUUCUUCCCUUCAUAAACCAAGACCAUUCACACUUUGAAAAGUCAUCAAGAAAAUUCAUACCACAUGCUCGUUCGUACUGCCAGUUAGCAGUAUCUAUCUCCAGAAGACGAAGAAGAAGAAGAAGAAGAAGAAGAAGGAGAAGGAGAAGAAGUACUAGCAGUAAUGGCAACCUAAUUAGUUGAAACUUAUUAAGGAGUUUGUACUAUCUAAGCUUUAUUUUUUAUAUCAACCUCAUCAUGGAGUUCUCAAGUGGCAGAAGAGAGAGAUCUCUCAACCAAGAAAGAGAUCAAGAAGAUCAAGAUCAUGAGUCAACAAAUCAAGCAACCUCUUUGAUCAUUGAGAAGGAACACAUGUUUGACAAGGUGGUCACUCCCAGUGACGUUGGCAAACUGAACAGGCUAGUGAUCCCCAAGCAACAUGCCGAGAAGUACUUCCCUUUGGACACGUCUAGCAACGAGAAAGGCCUUUUGCUAAGCUUUGAAGAUAGGUCCGGCAAGCCAUGGCGUUUUAGAUAUUCCUAUUGGAACAGUAGUCAGAGCUAUGUCAUGACUAAAGGCUGGAGUCGUUUUGUCAAAGAAAAAAGAUUAGAUGCCGGUGACACCAUAUCCUUUGGUCGUGGUGUCGGUGAAGCUGCCCGUGAUCGUCUUUUCAUCGACUGGAAAAGAAGGCCAGACAGAGGGCAAAACCCCCAACAUCCCUUUAGCAGCACAAUCAGCAGCAGCAGCAGCAGCAGAUCCUUGUCCCCAUGGAGCUAUGGGUACCUGACACCAUCAUCUAUUGCAACUUCUUCUAUGGUGUAUGAUCACCGGCAGAGCUACACAUACAAUGUGGGGAGCCCAAGCAGUGGUGCCGGACAGUACCUUCUGUUCAGAUCGGCAGGAGCCUUAUCUCAACCUCCGGUGCAAGUUGGCCAUGUAGGUGGGGACCCUACGGUGGCCUCGCCGAUGGUCCUAGAGUCUGUUCCAGUGGUCCAUGGUAAGGCCACUGCUAAGCGUGUUCGGCUUUUCGGUGUCAACUUAGAUUGCCCUCAAGAUGUUGUUGCAGAAAACAGUCAUUCUACAAUUCCUCUCUUGCCUCUCCAUUUACAGCUCGGUCGACGCACCGAAUCUUUAGAACCAUCUUCUUCUUCUUCUCCUCAGGACCAGCCACCAUCUCUAGAUCUCGAUAUUUAGAGGAAGAUUAAUGUAUGAGAAUUAAGUGUGAUAUAUAUAUAUAUAGAGAGAGAGAGAUAUCAUUGCUUCAUGUUCCCACUUCAUAAUAAUUCAUAUUUGACAGGCUCAGGUUACAAUUGGGAUUGGUCGAUGAAGAGAAAGGUCCCAAGAUACUUUCUUUUUUGUGGUCACUUUGAUGAGUUUGGUUUGGAGGUGUUGAAGGAUGAAAGGAGGAUAUGCUGCUAAAGUAGGUUUAUUCUUUUCUUGUCUUGGAACUCUCGUUUCAAUUGUAAAGAAAUUCAAAGUUCUUGCAGCUGAGUUUUUCUAUCAUCAUGGACGGUCUACAAGCCUUGGAUCAGAUAAUUUUGGACCAACAGAGGGUUAAGCAGGUGAUCAAGUUUGGGAGGAGGGAAUUAUCUUAAAUGAAUGAUUUGAUGGAACUGUAGGUGAUGUUUUCUUGAAAGAUUGUUAAAUGAGAUGUACAAAGAAAUAAGUUAUUAUUCUGGUCUUUUUUUUUUAAGAAAUUAUCUUGAUAUUAUUACAUUUUAGGUAUACUAUUCUUUUUAAGGGAAUAGAUUAAUGGCUUUAGGAAUCUUGAUAUUUCAUAUGUAAGUAUCAAAUCAUACUAAGG
Dioscorea cayenensis subsp. rotundata (Guinea yam) is the source of this 2042-nucleotide RNA transcript. It is a transcript of the gene named B3 domain-containing protein Os03g0120900-like, with no coding region annotated. The transcript has 3 exons. The record is from RefSeq and is a predicted model, not a curated record. NCBI's taxonomy places the organism in Eukaryota, Viridiplantae, Streptophyta, Magnoliopsida, Dioscoreales, Dioscoreaceae.